Molecule: ribosomal RNA, 253 nt
Filed under: uncultured bacterium
Lineage: Bacteria
Description: partial 16S ribosomal RNA
Rfam family: Bacterial small subunit ribosomal RNA
Source: RNAcentral
UACGUAGGAUGCAAGCGUUGUCCGGAAUUAUUGGGCGUAAAGAGCUCGUAGGCGGUUUGUCGCGUCUGCUGUGAAAACUCGGGGCUUAACCCCGGGCCUGCAGUGGGUACGGGCAGACUAGAGUGCGGUAGGGGAGACUGGAAUUCCUGGUGUAGCGGUGAAAUGCGCAGAUAUCAGGAGGAACACCGGUGGCGAAGGCGGGUCUCUGGGCCGUAACUGACGCUGAGGAGCGAAAGCGUGGGGAGCGAACAGG